AAACAUGGCCUUUUGAUUAUAAUUUAAGGUNUGACCUGCGCCAUGAGUAUUUAAAUGGCCGCGGUAUUUUGACCGUGCAAAGGUAGCAUAAUCAUUAGUUUUUUAAUUGAAAGCUGGAAUGAAAGGUUUGAUGAGAAAAUAACUGUCUCUAUUUAAAUUUUUUAGAAUUUUAUUUUUAAGUAAAAAAGCUUAAAUAAAAAUAGAAGACGAGAAGACCCUAUAGAGUUUUAUUAAAUUUUUAUUAUGAAAUUAGAAGAAUUUAAUUUUUUAUAGGAAAUUUUAAUUUGGUUGGGGUGAUUAAAAAAUUAAAAGAACUUUUUUUUUAUAUAAACAUUAAUUUAUGAAAAUUUGAUCCUUUAUUUGAGAUUAGAAGAUUAAAUUACCUUAGGGAUAACAGCGUAAUUUUUUUUGAGAGUUCAAAUCGAAAGAAAAGUUUGCGACCUCGAUGUUGGAUUAAAAUAAAAUUUUGGUGUAGAAGCUAAAAUAUUUAGGUCUGUUCGACCUUUAAAAUUUUACUUGAUCU
This 523-nucleotide ribosomal RNA is filed under the name Naupactus xanthographus (South American fruit tree weevil). RNAcentral's name for it is "partial 16S ribosomal RNA". It matches the Rfam family "Bacterial large subunit ribosomal RNA", at positions 1811 to 2606 of the family's 2925-position model. The record is from RNAcentral. Lineage: Eukaryota; Metazoa; Arthropoda; Insecta; Coleoptera; Curculionidae.